This 253-nucleotide ribosomal RNA is filed under the name uncultured bacterium. RNAcentral describes it as "partial 16S ribosomal RNA". It matches the Rfam family "Bacterial small subunit ribosomal RNA", at positions 524 to 776 of the family's 1533-position model. The record is from RNAcentral.
UACGUAGGGUGCAAGCGUUAAUCGGAAUUACUGGGCGUAAAGCGUGCGCAGGCGGCUAUGCAAGACAGAUGUGAAAUCCCCCGGCUUAACCUGGGAACUGCGUCUGAUACUGGGAAGCUUGAGUUCGGGAGAGGGAUGUAGAAUUCCAGGUGUAGCGGUGAAAUGCGUAGAUAUCUGGAGGAAUACCGGUGGCGAAGGCGGCAUCCUGGACCGAAACUGACGCUGAGGCGCGAAAGCUAGGGGAGCAAACGGG